AUAAUGCCAUGAAUUCAGUAGACACUUUACACCCCUCCCUUCCGCUGCCAGCGUUUGUUCACUUUUGGACCGGGUUGGUAAACAUGUUGAUUGUAUAUUUGAUCAAGUUCUGAGUAAAAUACUUAUCCUUAAAUCUAAUCUUUGAUUGGAAAUGUUAAUCACAGGCAGGUAUAUAUGUUUAGGUGUGAUUUUGGGUGUUUCUUUUCUUCAAACAAACUAAUCAACCAAACUAGAAUUGGAGUGCUUACUAUUACUAAUUGUUGUUCUUUUUUCCUUUUCUCCUGGUACCACCCCUGGAAGGUUGUCAUAAAGCUCAUAAUUAGAGAAUGUGAUGCUUAUGGAAACCUGUAAAUUUUGUUGUUGCAGUUAUAUGUGGAUACCUUGGUGAAGAAAGCAUAUGAUAACUGGAACCAUGUUGUCAUAUAUGAUGGCAUUUGAAGCUUAAACAGUUUGGCUGGUUGCACUGGAAAAAUCUGAAACCACUUGCUUAUUAGUCCGUCUACCCAUGUACCUAAAAUCAGUUGUUGAAAUCCUCAAUUUUCUCUUAUGGAUGAACUCGUGCACAAAGCUAAACUAUACAGGACAAAUUGGCACUUUUUGAGUUUUUGGAAGGAUUAUAUAUUUUUGUAUAGAUGUAUAUGGAAAAUAUUAGGUAGACUAGUAGUUAUAUUUUUGGAUACACUACUAGUUAUAUUUUUGGAUGGGUGUGUAUAGAAAAUAUUUGGUAGACUACUAGUUAUAUUUUUGGGUUGAUGUACAUGGAUAAAAAUUUAAAACAUAAUAACAAGUAAUUGUUAUGUGUUAAAUUUUUAUGCUAGAUGAAAUAUAUAGUUUCGAAUUAUUUGUGGAUGUAAACUUAUAAUAGUUGUUGACUUUAAUUAAACAGGUUCAGAAAUGGUUGAUAUA
Molecule: non-coding RNA, 906 nt
Organism: Camellia sinensis
Lineage: Eukaryota; Viridiplantae; Streptophyta; Magnoliopsida; Ericales; Theaceae
Source: RefSeq, a predicted model, not a curated record